GACGAACGCUGGCGGCGUGCUUAACACAUGCAAGUCGAACGCUGAAGCGUGGUGCUUGCACUGGGUGGAUGAGUGGCGAACGGGUGGGUAAUACGUGAGUAACCUGCCCUUGACUCUGGGAUAAGCCUGGGAAACUGGGGCUAAUACUGGAUAUGACAUGCCACUGCAUGGUGGUGUGUGGAAAGGGGUUUACUGGUUUUGGAUGGGCUCACGGCCUAUCAGCUUGUUGGUGGGGUAAUGGCCUACCAAGGCGACGACGGGUAGCCGGCCUGAGAGGGUGAACGGCCACCCUGGGCCUAAGAGACGGACCAGACUCCUACGGGCGGCAACAGUGGGGAAUAUUGCGCAAUGGGCGGAAGCCUGAUGCAGCGACGCCGGGUGAGGGAUGACGGCCUUCGGGUUAUAAACCUCUUUCAGAACGGAAGAAGCGAGAGUGACGGUACGUGCAGAAGAAGCGCCGGCUAACUACGUG
Molecule: ribosomal RNA, 472 nt
Filed under: uncultured bacterium
Lineage: Bacteria
Description: partial 16S ribosomal RNA
Rfam family: Bacterial small subunit ribosomal RNA
Source: RNAcentral